Non-coding RNA from Cicer arietinum (chickpea), 624 nucleotides. NCBI's taxonomy places the organism in Eukaryota, Viridiplantae, Streptophyta, Magnoliopsida, Fabales, Fabaceae. The record is from RefSeq and is a predicted model, not a curated record.
CAAAAAAAUGAACUUGAAGAGAGAGAAACAUGAUUAAAAAAAAGAGGAUCAUGUUCAUCUUCAAUCCUAGAGCAAUUCUAAGAAGAAGAGGAAGAAAGAUGAAUUUGAAGAGGGAGAAGAGACACAUUGUGGUUGUGAGGAGUGAUUCGCGUUGUGAUGUCAUUGAGGCGCGAAAAUUCUAAAAAUAGAUUUUAUGUGUAUGGUCUUUUUAAGAUAAGGGGACAAAAGUAUGCAACUUUUUUACUCAUUUGAUGAAGAUAUGAUCAAUCAUGCUAAGGAGGUUAUAAUAUAUCUAAAGAAAAAGAAUGAAGAGUUGAUGAAGUUUAUGAAUGACUCAAAGAUAAAUGAAGAUGGGUUGAAGAAGAAGAAAAUUAAAAUUAUGAGUUUUUUUUUUUUCUUCUGGUUUGUCUUGGGUGUUUCUUGUAAUGCUUGUGUUUGUAGUAGUUGCAACAAAUAUUUUGAAAUAGGUUGUUGUUUAGGUUUAUGUUUGCGAUUUCUGUCACUUUUUCCGUGGAAUCCAUUACAAAGAACACAAUGGGAAUGAAAUGACAAUGAUCACAAGAAAUAGACGAUUGUGAUGGGAUUCACAAUUAAGGCUUGUUCAACGUCGUUCUUGUUCUUCAA